RNAcentral lists this ribosomal RNA (272 nucleotides) under uncultured bacterium. RNAcentral's name for it is "partial small subunit ribosomal RNA". It matches the Rfam family "Bacterial small subunit ribosomal RNA", at positions 26 to 285 of the family's 1533-position model. The record is from RNAcentral. RNAcentral also lists the same sequence under 1 other name.
AGAAUCAACGCUGGCGGCGUGCCUAACACAUGCAAGUCGAACGCGAAAGGGGCGCAAGUCCUGAGUAGAGUGGCAAACGGGUGAGUAACACGUGGGUGACCUGCCUUCGAGUGGGGGAUAACGUUCCGAAAGGAACGCUAAUACCGCAUGACAUCCUGCGUUUGGAGACGCGGACAUCAAAGCUGGGGAUCGCAAGACCUGGCGCUCGGAGAGGGGCCCGCGGCUGAUUAGCUAGUUGGUGGGGUAAUGGCUCACCAAGGCGACGAUCAGUA